ACACAUGCAAGUCGAGGGGCAGCAUUUCAGUUUGCUUGCAAACUGGAGAUGGCGACCGGCGCACGGGUGAGUAACACGUAUCCAACCUGCCGAUAACUCGGGGAUAGCCUUUCGAAAGAAAAAUUAAUACCCGAUGGCAUAAUUAGACCGCAUGGUCUUAUUAUUAAAGAAUUUCGGUUAUCGAUGGGGAUGCGUUCCAUUAGGCAGUUGGUGAGGUAACGGCUCACCAAACCUUCGAUGGAUAGGGGUUCUGAGAGGAAGGUCCCCCACAUUGGAACUGAGACACGGUCCAAACUCCUACGGGAGGCAGCAGUGAGGAAUAUUGGUCAAUGGACGAGAGUCUGAACCAGCCAAGUAGCGUGAAGGAUGACUGCCCUAUGGGUUGUAAACUUCUUUUAUACGGGAAUAAAGUGAGGCACGUGUGCCUUUUUGUAUGUACCGUAUGAAUAAGGAUCGGCUAACUCCGUGCCAGCAGCCGCGGUAAUACGGAGGAUCCGAGCGUUAUCCGGAUUUAUUGGGUUUAAAGGGAGCGUAGGCGGACGCUUAAGUCAGUUGUGAAAGUUUGCGGCUCAACCGUAAAAUUGCAGUUGAUACUGGGUGUCUUGAGUACAGUAGAGGCAGGCGGAAUUCGUGGUGUAGCGGUGAAAUGCUUAGAUAUCACGAAGAACUCCGAUUGCGAAGGCAGCUUGCUGGACUGUAACUGACGCUGAUGCUCGAAAGUGUGGGUAUCAAACAGGAUUAGAUACCCUGGUAGUCCACACAGUAAACGAUGAAUACUCGCUGUUUGCGAUAUACAGUAAGCGGCCAAGCGAAAGCGUUAAGUAUUCCGCCUGGGGAGUACGCCGGCAACGGUGAAACUCAAAGGAAUUGACGGGGGCCCGCACAAGCGGAGGAACAUGUGGUUUAAUUCGAUGAUACGCGAGGAACCUUACCCGGGCUUGAAUUGCAACUGAAUGAUGUGGAGACAUGUCAGCCGCAAGGCAGUUGUGAAGGUGCUGCAUGGUUGUCGUCAGCUCGUGCCGUGAGGUGUCGGCUUAAGUGCCAUAACGAGCGCAACCCUUAUCGAUAGUUACCAUCAGGUUAUGCUGGGGACUCUGUCGAGACUGCCGUCGUAAGAUGUGAGGAAGGUGGGGAUGACGUCAAAUCAGCACGGCCCUUACGUCCGGGGCUACACACGUGUUACAAUGGGGGGUACAGAAGGCAGCUACACGGCGACGUGAUGCUAAUCCCGAAAGCCUCUCUCAGUUCGGAUUGGAGUCUGCAACCCGACUCCAUGAAGCUGGAUUCGCUAGUAAUCGCGCAUCAGCCACGGCGCGGUGAAUACGUUCCCGGGCCUUGUACACACCGCCCGUCAAGCCAUGAAAGCCGGGGGUACCUGAAGUGCGUAACCGCAAGGAGCGCCCUAGGGUAAAACUGGUGAUUGGG
This 1425-nucleotide ribosomal RNA is filed under the name uncultured organism. RNAcentral's name for it is "16S ribosomal RNA". It matches the Rfam family "Bacterial small subunit ribosomal RNA". The record is from RNAcentral.